CAGGUUCUCGAGGGCCGAGUGAGUGCGGGUUCAUAAUUGGAAGUGCGGUUCGCACCGAUCUACUCACAUGAUGCCUAAUCAGUGGAUUUCCAGCUAUUCAAAAGACCAAGUUCAUCAUGGAGGGCAUUCUUAAGAUUUGGGAGGUAUUGCGCCUCCGGAUUCAACCCCUCAGAAGCACAAAACAAUAGCAAAGUGUUACGACGUAUGCUCGUUUCCCCUCCGUUUCUCUGACUGUGAUUCCCUUUUUUCGUCCCCAAUAUAUAUAUGGUAGUUAGGUAAUAAUAUUCUGCUGUUUGCUCUUGCUUGCUCUCUCUCCUGAGUAAAUAUGGGUACCAGUAUCUGUUAAUAUUUGAGAUUCAGUACAUCUCAAACAUUGUGACUGAUAAUCAUGUCUUCACUUGCAGAUGGUCUUCAGUCUCUUUGCAGCCUGAACAAAUCCCACAAUCACCUGCAGCUCGUCCAUUUGCUGGGACCUAAAAUGCCUCUGAACAACAUCUACUAGUUGCUCUUUAGAUGGGUUGGGGAUAGCAUCCAUAAGAUUGAAGUGUCUCCAAUAUUUCCACAAGGCAGCCAUCUCUAAUUCGCUGAGGUCAACUUUCACGGUCCCACAAGGUGUGGAAACAGAGCCUUUAUACUGCGAGUCACAAGAGAGGGACCCGCUCAUAGUCUUGUGAGAUGACCCAUUGAUUUAUGCGUCCUAUGCCUUGAUCUAUGGGACUUUUGGGUGUCCUCGAAUGCCGUGUCAGAUCCAUUCCAAUGUACAUUAUCAAAUUCCAAAUCAUCGUGUCCCACAAGGUGUGGAAACAGAGCCUUUAUCCCACUAAGGGCAUUCCUCUGUAACUUUACUUCUAUGCCAUUUGUAAGAACCAGCUAAUGUCAGCCACCAAUUAACCCGCCACCAACUCGCAAGCCACCAAUUAACCCGCCACCAACUCGCAAGCCACCAAUUAACAAGCCUCCUCCUGCAGAGGGAAACGCCUCAGUUGACCCAACAGACAAACACCAUGGACCCCCAAAUAAGUGGUCACCCAGUUCAGUUGAUGGAUCAACAGGAGUUGGUGAUCAUCAAGAGAAGGCAUUCCCUGAUAAAGACAAGCCAUAAAAACGCAAGGGAGUGACGCCACCACACAAGCCUGGACACCCUCCUGCAGUUGGUACAGAGGACGCAACACACAGG
RNAcentral lists this long non-coding RNA (1177 nucleotides) under Manihot esculenta (cassava). RNAcentral's name for it is "long non-coding RNA (MESC_LNC008889)". The record is from RNAcentral. Lineage: Eukaryota; Viridiplantae; Streptophyta; Magnoliopsida; Malpighiales; Euphorbiaceae.